ACGGGGGGAGCAAGCGUUGUUCGGAUUUACUGGGCGUAAAGCGCGCGUAGGCGGCUUUGUAAGUCAGAGGUGAAAGCCUGGAGCUCAACUCCAGAACUGCCUUUGAGACUGCAUCGCUAGAAUUGUGGAGAGGUAAGUGGAAUUCCGAGUGUAGAGGUGAAAUUCGUAGAUAUUCGGAAGAACACCAGUGGCGAAGGCGACUUACUGGACACAUAUUGACGCUGAGGUGCGAAAGCGUGGGGAGCAAACAGGA
This 253-nucleotide ribosomal RNA is filed under the name uncultured prokaryote. RNAcentral describes it as "partial 16S ribosomal RNA". It matches the Rfam family "Bacterial small subunit ribosomal RNA", at positions 525 to 777 of the family's 1533-position model. The record is from RNAcentral.